GUUAAUGUAGCUUAAAUUAUCAAAGCAAGGCACUGAAAAUGCCUAGAUGGGCGUUUUACCCCAUGAACA
RNAcentral lists this transfer RNA (69 nucleotides) under Lemur catta (Ring-tailed lemur). RNAcentral's name for it is "tRNA-Phe". It matches the Rfam family "tRNA". From Rfam's summary of the family: Transfer RNA (tRNA) molecules are approximately 80 nucleotides in length. Their secondary structure includes four short double-helical elements and three loops (D, anti-codon, and T loops). The record is from RNAcentral. Lineage: Eukaryota; Metazoa; Chordata; Mammalia; Primates; Lemuridae.